GGCUGAAGUAGGUCCCAAGGGUUGGGCUGUUCGCCCAUUAAAGCGGUACGCGAGCUGGGUUCAGAACGUCGUGAGACAGUUCGGUCCCUAUCUGUCGUGGGCGUAGGAAAUUUGAGAGGAGCUGUCCUUAGUACGAGAGGACCGGGAUGGACGUACCGCUGGUGCACCAGUUGUUCCGCCAGGAGCACGGCUGGGUAGCUAAGUACGGAAGGGAUAAGCGCUGAAAGCAUCUAAGCGUGAAGCCCCCCUCAAGAUGAGAUUUCCCAAUUCGUAAGACCCCUUGAAGACGACGAGGUAGAUAGGUUGGAGGUGGAAGUGCAGCAAUGCAUGGAGCUGACCAAUACUAAUCGGUCGAGGGCUUAUCCUAAA
This 369-nucleotide ribosomal RNA is filed under the name Paenibacillus sp. DMB20. Its description in RNAcentral is "bacterial LSU rRNA". It matches the Rfam family "Bacterial large subunit ribosomal RNA", at positions 2551 to 2925 of the family's 2925-position model. The record is from RNAcentral. Lineage: Bacteria; Bacillati; Bacillota; Bacilli; Caryophanales; Paenibacillaceae.